This 1562-nucleotide ribosomal RNA is filed under the name uncultured fungus. Its description in RNAcentral is "eukaryotic LSU rRNA". The stretch from base 933 to 1562 matches the Rfam family "Eukaryotic large subunit ribosomal RNA", at positions 1 to 649 of the family's 3401-position model. Lineage: Eukaryota; Fungi. The record is from RNAcentral.
AAGUCGUAACAAGGUUUCCAUAGCAUAAGUUAUGAACAUGAUCCUUCUGUUGGUAAACUUAUAGAAGCCUUAGUAUCCUAGUUAUAGGAGGCCACGCGACAAAAAAUAAAGUGGCCGAUUACUAGUUAGCUUAUGCUAGCAACACAAUCGGACUGGAUGGGAAUACCCAUAUGUAAUAAUACUCUAUGGUGCUUAUGCCGUAGUGGUAUCGCAUGCGACAUGGGUAACCCACAGCGUAUACCUCAAUAGGCACUUGCGUAUGCCUUUUAGGGAACGUUCACAGACUAAGUGGUUGUGGAUGGAGUCUUAUGAACUCUAUUUGAGAUAUAGUCGGGCCUGAUAGUAAUUUUCAGGUUAUGGCAAUCAUUAACUGUCCAUACAGACAACGUGUUGGCACAGAGGUUGAGGGCCACAUUGGAGAAAUGAUGCCACUAAAUACCCGUUCCGUAGGUGAACCUGCGGAAGGAUCAUUACCGAGAACAUGCCCUUUGGGUAUAUCUCCCACCCUUUGCUUACAAUACCUCUGUUGCUUUGGUGGGCCCGUCUCACGACCACUGGCUCCGGCUGGUCUGUGCCCACCAGAGGACCCAACACUCUUAAUUAUGCUGUCUGAGCACUAUAUAAUAUUUAAAACUUUCAACAACGGAUCUCUUGGUUCUGGCAUCGAUGAAGAACGCAGCGAAAUGCGAUAAGUAAUGUGAAUUGCAGAAUUCAGUGAAUCAUCGAAUCUUUGAACGCACAUUGCACCUCUGGUAUUCCGGGGGGUAUGCCUGUUCGAGCGUCAUUUCAGCCCUCAAGCGCAGCUNNNUGGAUGUCACCUCUAGGUGCGUCCUAAAACAAUCGGCGGUGGCAUUCAGCUUCUAGCGGAGUAACUCAUCUCGCUCUGGAGCCUGGAUGUCCCACAGCCAAAACACUGAUCUUUAAUCAAAGGUUGACCUCGGAUCAGGUAGGGAUACCCGCUGAACUUAAGCAUAUCAAUAAGCGGAGGAAAAGAAACCAACAGGGAUUGCCUCAGUAACGGCGAGUGAAGCGGCAACAGCUCAAAUUUGAAAUCUGGCCUCACGGUCCGAGUUGUAAUUUGUAGAGGAUGCUUCGAGCGUGGUCCGGUCUAAGUUCCUUGGAACAGGACGUCAUAGAGGGUGAGAAUCCCGUAUGUGACUGGGUGCCUAAGCUCUUGUGAAGCUCCUUCGACGAGUCGAGUUGUUUGGGAAUGCAGCUCAAAAUGGGUGGUAAAUUUCAUCUAAAGCUAAAUACUGGCCAGAGACCGAUAGCGCACAAGUAGAGUGAUUGAAAGAUGAAAAGCACUUUGGAAAGAGGGUUAAACAGUACGUGAAAUUGUUGAAAGGGAAGCGCUUGCAACCAGACUUGCAUGCACUCGAUCAUCCGGUGUUCUCACCGGUGCACUCGAAUGUAUUCAGGCCAGCAUUGGUUUCAGUGGUUGGAUAAAGGCCAGGGGAAUGUAGCUUCUCUCGGGGAGUGUUAUAGCCUCUGGUGCCAUGCGGCCUACUGGGACCGAGGACCGCGCUCCGGCUAGGAUGCUGGCGUAAUGGUUGUAAGCGACC